UAAAUUGUGAUAUUUAAUUAAAAUAUAAAAUAAAUAAUUUAAGAGAAAACAUUAUAUGUGAAAGAAUCAGCCUUAAAAUAGAGUCUGAUACGCAUGCGUUAGGGUUUUAACAAUCCCUCGCCGCCCUUUACUAUAUCUCAUCGCGAAGGCCUUUCUUUACAGAGAAGUAGUUAGGCAUAACAGACAGUGAGAUGGGAACAAAGCUAAAGAAAGCUACGAAGAAGAACAUGAAAAGGGUUUCCUCUAACAAGCGAUCUGAGUUGGUUAUUAAGAACCACAAUACUACACAAAAGAAUCACCUUUUGCGUCUUGAAAUUGAACAGUCUAUACGGGAAGUUGAACUUCUUAUUUCUGAGUUAGAAGAAUGGUUUGAAACAGCUGGCUAAGGAUGAUGUCAGUAAAAAUGUUGGUGCAAGAUAUGAGGUUGAUAGAGACCAAAGUAAUAUGUAUAUGCGGAUGAAGGUUGAACUAUGAAAAUGGUUUAAGAAUCGUGCCGUUAAAACUUUAUUUGUGGGUUAUGAGAGUAAAAGGGACUGAAAUAGUUAUGUGUUGUUAACAUAGUUUAGUAUAAAUACAUUAGUUUGUUAACAUUCUUGUUAUUAAGUAUGUUCAUGUUGUGCCUUUCAUUUGGUUUCA
This is a long non-coding RNA of Vigna umbellata (rice bean), 636 nucleotides long. RefSeq lists it as uncharacterized. Lineage: Eukaryota; Viridiplantae; Streptophyta; Magnoliopsida; Fabales; Fabaceae. The record is from RefSeq and is a predicted model, not a curated record.